This 498-nucleotide ribosomal RNA is filed under the name uncultured bacterium. RNAcentral's name for it is "partial 16S ribosomal RNA". It matches the Rfam family "Bacterial small subunit ribosomal RNA", at positions 30 to 523 of the family's 1533-position model. The record is from RNAcentral.
AUUGAACGCUGGCGGCAUGCUUUACACAUGCAAGUCGAACGGUAACAGGCCGCAAGGUGCUGACGAGUGGCGAACGGGUGAGUAAUGCAUCGGAACGUGCCCAGUCGUGGGGGAUAACGCAGCGAAAGCUGUGCUAAUACCGCAUACGAUCUAUGGAUGAAAGCGGGGGACCGUAAGGCCUCGCGCGAUUGGAGCGGCCGAUGUCAGAUUAGGUAGUUGGUGGGGUAAAGGCCCACCAAGCCAACGAUCUGUAGCUGGUCUGAGAGGACGACCAGCCACACUGGGACUGAGACACGGCCCAGACUCCUACGGGAGGCAGCAGUGGGGAAUUUUGGACAAUGGGCGCAAGCCUGAUCCAGCAAUGCCGCGUGCAGGAAGAAGGCCUUCGGGUUGUAAACUGCUUUUGUACGGAACGAAACGGUCUGGGUUAAUACCCUGGGCUAAUGACGGUACCGUAAGAAUAAGCACCGGCUAACUACGUGCCAGCAGCCGCAGUAA